UUUCCGUAGGUGAACCUGCGGAAGGAUCAUUACAGAGUUCAUGCCCUACCGGGUAGAUCUCCCACCCUAUGUUAUUAUUACUUUGUUGCUUUGGCGGGCCGUUAGGCUCUGGCUCGACUACCGGCCCCGGCUGGUAAGCGCCCGCCAGAGGACCCAAAACCCUGAAUAUUAGUGUCGUCUGAGUACUAUAUAAUAGUUAAAACUUUCAACAACGGAUCUCUUGGUUCUG
This 229-nucleotide unclassified non-coding RNA is filed under the name plant metagenome. RNAcentral's name for it is "partial contains small subunit ribosomal RNA, internal transcribed spacer 1, and 5.8S ribosomal RNA". The record is from RNAcentral.